This 1056-nucleotide ribosomal RNA is filed under the name Triticum aestivum (bread wheat). Its description in RNAcentral is "partial small subunit ribosomal RNA". The record is from RNAcentral. Lineage: Eukaryota; Viridiplantae; Streptophyta; Magnoliopsida; Poales; Poaceae.
AUGUCUUUCGCAGGCGGCAAACUAUGCCCCUCCCGGUCGGUCAUCAACGACGCCGGCGCCGCCAGCGGGUACCACCUGUUCGUGGUAGAAGGCUACUCGCGCAGCAAGGACAUGGGUGACAUCAAGUCUCGCCGUUUCAGAGUUGGAGGGCAUCUCUGGUUUCUCGAGUACUGGCCCAGCUGUUGUCGGACAGAUGGGAGCGCCAUAUCUGAUGCCAUUCGCCUUCAUCAGGACGUUGCAGGGCCUGUAAAGGCGCAGUUCAGGUUUAGUUUCAUUGACCAGCCCGACAAGCACAAGUCAAAAUACAAACCUUACUUCCCUGGCAAGUAUGGUAUGAGCUUCUCUGAUCUUCUAGAGAGGGAUGACUUGGAACAGUCAAAACAUGUCGAGGAUGACGGUUUCACCAUCCGGUGUGAUAUCAUCGUCGAGGACGUCAUCGACGCUGGGGCCGAGGGCACCGGUACCGCUUCACCGUUCAUUACGGUGCCGCCGCCAGACAUGCAGCAGCACUUUACCGAUCUCCUGGCCGCCAAGGAAGGCAUCGACGUGAAGUUCGAGGUUGGUGGUGAGAUAUUCAACGCACACCGGUGCAUCCUUGCGGCCCGGUCUAGAGUCUUCAAGGCCGAGCUCUUGGGCCCGAUGAAGGAGGGCACGGCCACUGCAGACGCCAUACAUGUAGAGGACGUGGAGGCUCCAGCAUUCAGGGCAAUGCUCAAAUUCAUCUACAGUGACUUGGAGCCGGAGAUGGAGAAGGAAGAUGGUGAAGACCCAGUAUGGCAGUGGCAGAACCUGCUCGUGGCGGCUGAUAGGUACGAUCUCCAGCGGCUGAAGCUCAUGUGUGAAGAUAAGCUGUGCGGGUUCGUCGACGUGAGCACCACGCCCAGCAUCCUGGCGCUAGCUGAGCGCCACUGCUGUGACGGGCUGAAGACGGCAUGCUACAACUUUCUCGGUGCAUCGGGGAAUCUGAGGGCUGUCGCGGCCAGUGAUGGCUUUGACGAUCUCAUCACGAGCUGCCCCUUUGUUAUGAAGGAGCUGAUCAACAUGUUUAUGGCUUAG